Molecule: ribosomal RNA, 464 nt
Filed under: uncultured Desulfobulbus sp.
Lineage: Bacteria; Pseudomonadati; Thermodesulfobacteriota; Desulfobulbia; Desulfobulbales; Desulfobulbaceae
Description: bacterial SSU rRNA
Rfam family: Bacterial small subunit ribosomal RNA
Source: RNAcentral
CACAAGCGGUGGAGUAUGUGGUUUAAUUCGAUGCAACGCGAAGAACCUUACCUGGUCUUGACAUCCCGGGGACCCUUAGGAAACUAGGGGGUGCUUCCAUCUGGAAGAAUCUGGAGACAGGUGCUGCAUGGCUGUCGUCAGCUCGUGUCGUGAGAUGUUGGGUUAAGUCCCGCAACGAGCGCAACCCUUGCCUUUAGUUGCCAGCAGUUCGGCUGGGCACUCUAAAGGGACUGCCGGUGUUAAACCGGAGGAAGGUGGGGAUGACGUCAAGUCCUCAUGGCCUUUAUGACCAGGGCUACACACGUACUACAAUGGCCGAUACAAAGGGCAGCGACACUGCGAGGUGAAGCCAAUCCCGUAAAAUCGGUCUCAGUCCGGAUUGGAGUCUGCAACUCGACUCCAUGAAGUUGGAAUCGCUAGUAAUCGUGGAUCAGCAUGCCACGGUGAAUACGUUCCCGGGCCUU